This 2029-nucleotide long non-coding RNA is filed under the name Venturia canescens. RNAcentral describes it as "uncharacterized LOC122405750". The record is from RNAcentral. Lineage: Eukaryota; Metazoa; Arthropoda; Insecta; Hymenoptera; Ichneumonidae.
ACGCUCAUAAUUCCAUCAAACGGAACUGAAAAUAUUCGAUAUUAUUUCAGAUAUAAAAGUGAAGAAUUCGUACGAGAAACUCAGGCUCAAUCGACCUCCGAAGCUCCUGGAAUCGAAACCAAUUAUAUACUCAUCCAUUUUUUGCCGCUGUUCACAACUCUUUUCCCCUUUAAGAGAGCAAAGAAAAAACACAAAUGGAAAUGGAUGAAGAAAAAAGUAUUAGCCAAAAAACAGAAUUCUAUGACAGAAACGGGCCAAACGAAAAAUAAACAAAAUGCCGAAAUAAGCAAAUGUGAGGUUGUACGAGUGCUCGUUAACAAUUUCGUAUGAUCUUUAAGAGUUUCGAAUACUUCAGCUCACGUACCGAAGCGGAGAAAUUUAAAUCUGGAAUCCUCCGAAGAGUAAGUGCUUUCGAAGUUCGUUUCAUAUUUAUUUGUCGACCUUUGUGUGAGGUCUAACUCAGAAGAACAGGCUUUUUUAUGCUCCUAAGAUAAUAUUUUUAUUACAUUCUUACUCACGAGCCUCCUUUAUAUUGAAUAGCGUAAAGCCCAGGUAAAUAUACGUAUAUACAGUGAUAAAGGUAAUGCCAGAAAUUUCUACGUUUAUUUAUUCAAACUUGCUUGUUUCAGAGACCACGGGACGCGAUAAAUACACCAUUUUCUGUUACAACGCUUCUCUCUCCCUCUCUUUUAUUCUCUCUGAUUAUUUUUCCUUCUCCUCGUCUCACCAUCACCGUUUGAUAAGGUGAUAUCAGAGACGAUUCGUGCGUAAGAAUAAUUUCAUUUGCAAAUGCACGAGUGUGACGAAAGAGAAAAUACGGGCUGAAGGCCAAUACCAAGGAGGAUGGAGCAGCAAUGGGUUUUACGAUGAGCAUCGAUAUCUCAAUUCUUAUGAUAAUACUUCGAACGAAAGUUUUGUUCAGUCAUUUAUUCGGAUGAAAAUAUCGUGAUCGUGUUAAAAUAAAACUUUUAUUGCGUCAUUAUUGGGAACAUUUUCAUUGGGAGCGUGAGCCGGAACUCUGGGAAUGCGCAACAUUUUUUCAAAGCUACGAAAAUACAUUGUUGCUCCGGGGGACAAAAGAGAUUUUCCCAGAUUCAACGAAUAGGCGAAUAGGCUCAAUUAUUCGAGUGUUUUCAACCACAGUCCACCGAAUCCCCAACCGCAACAGCACGGGAAUAUAAGCUACCUUAAAAGUUGAGUAAUAGCUUGAAUUUUUUUCGGGAAUUCAGUUGCAUUAGAUUGUCUUGAAACUUUGACGAGCGUCCUUUCAAGAAAUGUGACUUGAAAAAGCCAAGUCCAAAUGUAUGAGAAAGCACGCGAAAGUUCGAAGCUGCCGGAGCGCUGCGAAUGGAACAAACAGGAAAGCUUUUUAUUGAGAGUCAAAUGAAUGAUGGGGCCGGUGUAAUUUGAAACGGGACACCUUGUAUAAGGUUCGUAUAAGUGUAGGAUACAUCGAAGGAAUCUAGAGGCGCUUAAAUGUCGAAGAAAAGCUAGGGCUUUGAAAGCGAGGGCCGGGCGCGAACAAACGUGGUGGAAUACGUGAUUUCCACGGGCGCGCCGCAACGUUGCGGAGACCAACCGGUCCGUAAACGUUUUUCCAGUCUAUUAAAAAUCUGUCCCCGCCGGGCUAAUUCGCAUCCGCGCCUGCCGCGCUCGAUUUAUUCUCUCGUGAGCCACUACUCUCGAUGCUGAAAGAGAGCACUAGAAGCAAAAGGAGAAAAACGACGAGGCGAAGAAUGAGACGAAAUGAACGAGAAUAAAAGAAGAAGAAGAAGAAGAAGACCAAGAGGAAGGACCGGAGAUGAUGAAAAAGCGACUAAAAAACAUGCGAAGAUGCGGAGAAAGAAGAAGAAGAAGAAGAAGAAGCAGCACCAGAAGAAGUACGAGAAGUAGAAGAGGAAACAGGAGACGAAGAAUGCUGAAGGAAAGGUGUGUUCUCCACUCGCAGACACAGAAAGAGAAAUAUGUAAUACAAGACGCGCGCGGCCUUUUGACGACAAUAUAAAACAAACCUCUUGCACGCUUGAAA